CAUACCUAUUCGAAGGGAUAGGGUCGGUUUGGCCGGAUUUCACACAGGUGUUGCAUGGCUGUCGUCAGCUCGUGUCGUGAGGUGUUGGGUUAAGUCCCGCAACGAGCGCAACCCUCAUCCUUAGUUACCAUCAGGUUAUGCUGGGGACUUUAAGGAAACUGCCAGUGAUAAACUGGAGGAAGGUGGGGAUGAUGUCAAGUCAUCAUGGCCCUUAUGGAGUGGGCUACACACGUGCUACAAUGGUGAUUACAAUGGGCUGCAAGGUCGCAAGGCUGAGCUAAUCCUAAAAAAUCAUCUCAGUUCGGAUUGUUCUCUGCAACUCGAGAGCAUGAAGUUGGAGUCGCUAGUAAUCGUGGAUCAGCAUGCCACGGUGAAUACGUUCUCGGGUCUUGUACACACUGCCCGUCACGCCAUGGGAAUUGGUUUCACUCGAAGCU
Molecule: ribosomal RNA, 437 nt
Filed under: Wolbachia pipientis
Lineage: Bacteria; Pseudomonadati; Pseudomonadota; Alphaproteobacteria; Rickettsiales; Anaplasmataceae
Description: bacterial SSU rRNA
Rfam family: Bacterial small subunit ribosomal RNA
Source: RNAcentral